RNAcentral lists this ribosomal RNA (1023 nucleotides) under uncultured Bacteroides sp. RNAcentral's name for it is "bacterial SSU rRNA". It matches the Rfam family "Bacterial small subunit ribosomal RNA", at positions 137 to 1165 of the family's 1533-position model. The record is from RNAcentral. Lineage: Bacteria; Pseudomonadati; Bacteroidota; Bacteroidia; Bacteroidales; Bacteroidaceae.
UCUUGGCCAGCCUUCUGAAAGGAAGAUUAAUACAAGAUGGCAUCAUGAGUCCGCAUGUUCACAUGAUUAAAGGUAUUCCGGUAGACGAUGGGGAUGCGUUCCAUUAGAUAGUAGGCGGGGUAACGGCCCACCUAGUCUUCGAUGGAUAGGGGUUCUGAGAGGAAGGUCCCCCACAUUGGAACUGAGACACGGUCCAAACUCCUACGGGAGGCAGCAGUGAGGAAUAUUGGUCAAUGGGCGAGAGCCUGAACCAGCCAAGUAGCGUGAAGGAUGACUGCCCUAUGGGUUGUAAACUUCUUUUAUAAAGGAAUAAAGUCGGGUAUGCAUACCCGUUUGCAUGUACUUUAUGAAUAAGGAUCGGCUAACUCCGUGCCAGCAGCCGCGGUAAUACGGAGGAUCCGAGCGUUAUCCGGAUUUAUUGGGUUUAAAGGGAGCGUAGAUGGAUGUUUAAGUCAGUUGUGAAAGUUUGCGGCUCAACCGUAAAAUUGCAGUUGAUACUGGAUAUCUUGAGUGCAGUUGAGGCAGGCGGAAUUCGUGGUGUAGCGGUGAAAUGCUUAGAUAUCACGAAGAACUCCGAUUGCGACGGCAGCCUGCUAAGCUGCAACUGACAUUGAGGCUCGAAAGUGUGGGUAUCAAACAGGAUUAGAUACCCUGGUAGUCCACACGGUAAACGAUGAAUACUCGCUGUUUGCGAUAUACAGCAAGCGGCCAAGCGAAAGCGUUAAGUAUUCCACCUGGGGAGUACGCCGGCAACGGUGAAACUCAAAGGAAUUGACGGGGGCCCGCACAAGCGGAGGAACAUGUGGUUUAAUUCGAUGAUACGCGAGGAACCUUACCCGGGCUUAAAUUGCAGAUGAAUUACGGUGAAAGCCGUAAGCCGCAAGGCAUCUGUGAAGGUGCUGCAUGGUUGUCGUCAGCUCGUGCCGUGAGGUGUCGGCUUAAGUGCCAUAACGAGCGCAACCCUUGUUGUCAGUUACUAACAGGUUCUGCUGAGGACUCUGACAAGACUGCCAUCGUAAGAUG